Molecule: transfer RNA, 63 nt
Filed under: Carinata rufipenna
Lineage: Eukaryota; Metazoa; Arthropoda; Insecta; Hemiptera; Cicadellidae
Also listed under: 1 other name
Description: tRNA-Asp
Source: RNAcentral
AAAAAUUUAGUUUAACUAAAACCUCAGUUUGUCAAAUUGAAAAUAUUUUAUAAAUAAUUUUUA